Long non-coding RNA from Peromyscus eremicus (cactus mouse), 792 nucleotides. RefSeq lists it as uncharacterized. Lineage: Eukaryota; Metazoa; Chordata; Mammalia; Rodentia; Cricetidae. The record is from RefSeq and is a predicted model, not a curated record. The transcript has 3 exons.
CUGAAAACAAUGACUCCUUAUCCACAAGAUUCAUAUAGAGCCAGUAGCUUACUUGGAAGAGCAAAUACUGUGGGAACUUGAGAAAGAUGAUGAUCCAAAGUCAACUUCAAGUUUGGAGUUGCAAGAAAGAACCACAGAUUAAAAUGGAACUGGAAUCAACUGGACCCUGGGAACUCUUGCUAAUGAGAGCUCUUCCGCACAAGAACCACAUAUUAUGGUGUCUUAAUACAAACCUUCAAAAGUUAGUGCCUACCACCAAAUAUCAUUACAAAAGGGAUUUCUUCCUCAUGUGAAUUGGAGGAGAUAGACAAUUUAGUUCAUGACAAGGAACUACAACAGUCAGAACUGGAGAGACUAAUCAAGCACCUCCCUCCGCAAGGUCAGUCUGAAGAACCUCUCACCAUCUUUAUGAAUUUUCCUCAUUUCUGGCCAAACCUCAGACCAGGUUACAUAUAGCUCACCUCUUUCUCUGGACAAAGGAAUUCAGAGAAUCAUGUUCACCUAACUCACUUCCACUUAGCACCUUACAAUCACACUGCACUAUCUCAUUAUCCCUUUCAUAUCCUCUAAGACAAAUGUUUGAUAUGCUCUCUUACUCAAACCCCAACAUCUUCUCUUUCUGUCUUCUCUGGAUUUCUGAUUCAUUGAGAAAACAAAAUCAGUAAAAAGAAGACUUGUAGAAAUUCUCCCUGCCAUUCCACUCACAUCUACCCAGUGUCAGUAUUUGUUGGUGAGAUGAUCUGUCUAUAUGGUUCUCUAAAACCACCCUCAUCUCCUUAUUAUGUGGUCAGC